Pseudophryne corroboree (corroboree frog) is the source of this 4605-nucleotide long non-coding RNA. RefSeq lists it as uncharacterized. The transcript has 6 exons. NCBI's taxonomy places the organism in Eukaryota, Metazoa, Chordata, Amphibia, Anura, Myobatrachidae. The record is from RefSeq and is a predicted model, not a curated record.
GUGUGUUUAUAUCAAUGUAUGUUCUACAAGAUAGCUACCCAAUAUGAAUCAUACUAUUGGAAGCAUUGAUUACUAGAUUAAUUUAGAAUUGUAUCUGUGUAUUUUCGCAUAGCUACUCUCUUGUUGCCAUUAGAAUUGAUUGCUAGACACGUGCUGAGGAAAUUUGGUGCUAUUUAGUUGAUAUUAUAAAGUAAUACUUAAGGGAGUAAUUGUAAAAACACGCAUGCAGCACAGAAGAUACUGUGUGGUGUUCGGUAAGCGAUUAUAGUUGAACAUCGUUUACAUUUAUAGAAGCGUGUUAUUUGUGUUAUUGUGAGCGUAUCUGGCCUUUUGUAUACGUGUCUCGGGCAACGUGCGAGAUUACAUACGCAAACGCAAAGGCCUACACAUGUGGCGUAUAAUACGCAGCGUGCGUACGGAUACGCCCACUAAAUUCAAAUCACAUGAUAGCAUUGUUUUAGUGUGGGCGGUAUAGUAGCCACGUGAUAAUAGCACAAGUUUGUUCAGUUUCCAAAAAGUUUAGUUUAAAAAGAACCUUUUUCUAUUGCAAAACUCGAUGAUUGAACUGUUUGCCUGAAUGAAAGUAAUUUCUGUACAGAAAAAUCAGUGUGCAUAUGAGUGAACAGGAGUGAGUGUGCAAAUAAAGGUAUUCUUUUUUGUGAACCCAGAAAUCGAGAUACCUUCGGAGACCACACCAGGUUGCACCCCAUGUUAAACUUCCCUCAGGAUUACAAGCAAGAAACUGAGCCCAGCAUGAUGUCGGCACCUUUUCCAGCAGCCAUCAUACGAGACACCCAGGUGGGCACGGCCCAAUCGGUAAAGACAGUAGUAAAGCCCCCUAAUGGAGGGUCAGGUGAGGUCGUGUCCACAGGUAAGUACGGCAUUGUAUAUUAUGCACAGACAAUUGCACCUCACAUUGUAGAGUCAACACAAGAUGAUGUAGUUGAACUUAAUUCUGUCAGGGUGAUUGCAGUCCCAAAUGGACAGACUGACACUCUGGGAGUCACUCACGUCAGGGGCAUUGCCCCUGGUCCCAGACAGAAUUAAGGACAAUUAUGUCUGAAUUUCCUGAUCCCAGGAAAGAUCUAGCCGCAUGCCAAAGGUUCAUUAAAAAAUUAGGUAACUCCGCAUAACCCAAUAACAAACAUUGGCGGACAUUGCUGAGGGUAUGUCUACCCUCCAAUAUUGACCCUGCGAAAUUUAUUACUGAUUGUAAAUUAGACGCAGACGUACCUCUCACUGAGGAAUACACUCAGGAGAAUGUACGACAAAUCAAUCUGCAAUUAGGAGUAUAUUUCCCAACUGUUGUCAAGUGGAACAAAAUUUUCUCCAUUAGCCAAAAAGAAGGUGAAAUGGCAGCGGAAUAUUUCCAUCGAGCACUGCAGGAAAUAUCUAGAUACACUGGGAUCACGGACAUUGAGGAUAAUGUACAUUAUAGGGAGGUAGCUGUGUCCGUAUUAAUGGAUGGCUUAAAAGACACACUAAGAAUCAGGGUACAAACCUCUCUACCUAACUGGAGAGGUAUCUCGGUGGCUGCAUUAAGAGAGUCCGCUAUCGAGCAUGACCGUAAUAUCCAAAGAACAAGGGAAGCACGGGGAGAGCGGUUGAUGGUGAUGAACAUCCAAGCACUAGAAGAGGCAUCAAAUCGACCAAAACCCCAGGCCACUGGCACAUGGAGGAAGCCAAGGGUUUGUUAUCUUUGUAAAAGGGAAGGGCAUUAUGCCAGCAACUGUAACAGCACACAUAAAGUCAGACCUCCUAGACAAGAACACAAGCAAAGUUAUGACACACGUAAUUGUAAUCAGGGAUCAUAUAGGAAGAAUUUUGGGAAGCACCUGUAAUUUGCAGCCAGUGAAGUUGAUCAUUAGCCUUGAUAGUAAGCCUGAGGUUACAGUCAAUGUAAUUGGGAGGUCAAUUCCUUGUAGACACAGGGACGGCCGGGUAAACUUUGUAAUUUAUCUUUAAAUGUUUCCUUCUCAUCGCUAACGUUCACCAGCAGAACACAAACGUCACAUGACUACUUGGUCUUUUCAGAGGUCUACCCAACCCCAGUAUAUCUUACCAGCAUCGUUGUGUUUGGCCAGGCACAAAGGGUGGAGAGUGGAAAUACUGGUGGGGGAGAAAGUGCAGAGAUACCUAUGGACAUGUUGGUGUAAAAAGCCUAAUGGUGAACGGAAAUCCGACAAUGUUUUUUUUUCCUAAUUGUUCUCUCUCUUUUUGUUCUUUCAUGUUUUACGGAUGGUAUGUCACACAAAAGUUAGAUAAAUGGUAAUGCAAGAUUUAUGCUCCUUACAGAAAGAUCACUGAUUUGGAAAGAAUAUUGUAUCACCGGAGUGUUCGUUGUGGGAAGACUGAGAGACAGCACCUUUGAGAUGACAACUGAGCAAGAAGAACAAAAAGACUAGAGGACAAAUUAUCGUAACAAGUUUUUUUCCCCUUCAAUUAAUUUCUGUACCCCCAUUACAACUUUCUCUUUCUCCUCUUGUAAGAUGGACUCGCACCAAGAGACUGCAGUCCGUGUUUUCCUGUUGACCCUGUUGUUGACCAGAGCAGUCUGUUUCGGUGAGAGUACCAGUGAGGUCGAGAAAGGAUCUGGAAAGGGUUCUGAUGAUCAGGAUGGAGUAGUAGAAUUCCAAGAGCAACACAAUCACCGAGUAAAGGCGAGUAUCAGAAAACGAUCUGGUAGCCAUGACACUAAGAGACAUUGUGAAGGAUUGUUAGCUGAAGAGAAUUGUAUCUGUAGGAAUUGUGAAAACAUAGUUGAGGAUGGGUGCAUCCAGAGAUGUCAGUCCAGCCUUAAUAUCAACAUGGACCGUCAUCCGUUGAGUGACUAUCACUCAUUAGUGGGUAAGGUUUUAAACCAAACAGAAUGCUGGGUGUGCUCACAAGUACCUCAAGGUCAUAGAAAGUCAGGACUAGUGCCAUACUCUUUAUCGAUAGAUGAGGUACUUGAGUUAAGGGGUGGGAGACCGGUGGACAAGAAAUUUAAUAUUUCUAGGCCUCCUGGUUUGAAGCUCCACCAAUACCAUGUAGAUAGGUCCCUAAUAUGUUUUAACAUUUCCAAUCCCCGAAAGCCGGGAAAUUGGGAAGUGACAUGGAACAACUGAACCAUGACAUUCUACGUUACAUUUUUUGGCGUCAGGCACAUUCCAGCCUACACUGUCUCAAACAUGCGGUUUUUCACAGUCGACACUGUCGCGCUGUAUAACCCAGGUCUUUAGGGCUUUCCGCAAAUUGACGAUCCAGUACAUCACAUUUCCAGAGACGGACAGCGAAUGUCGUGAGAUCAAAUUAGGCUUUUUUACCAAAUACAAAUUUCCCAAUGUUCUGGGCGCGAUUGACUGUACCCACGUGCAGAUCAGACCGCGAUGGAAUUCGGAAGAAUGUUUUCGGAACCGAAAACAUUUCCACGCCAUGAAUGUACAGGCGGUCUGUGAUGUCAACAUGAAAUUUUUGAAUAUUUUUGUGGGAUUUCCUGGAUCGUCUCACGACUACUUCAUCCUAAGUCAGUCAUCGCUGUUUGAGAAGUUCGAAACAGGAAAGAUGCCGGGUGGCUGGCUGUUAGGUAUUUAUUUUAAUUGUUUUUAUUUUUUUUUAUUUUUUUUUUAUAUUACCCACCAUUUUUUUUUAUUUUCUUAUAGGCGAUGUGGGUUAUCCCAACAAAUCGUGGCUCUUGACCCCAUUGUCAAAUCCUGUUGGUAGAGCAGAAAAACGUUACCAAGAGACACACAAAGCAUCGAGGCAAAUAAUUGAACGUGCCUUCGGGGUACUUAAAAGCCGGUUUAGAUGUUUAGACACUUCCGGCGGUGCUCUUUUGUAUUCACUGGGAAAGGUUUGCGGCAUGGUAAAUGCAUGUUGUAUUUUACACAACAUAUGUGUCGCAAACUGUUUGCCGGUGACUCUUCGUCACAGUGCUUUCUGACGCGGGAACCGUUCUUCUGCUCUACCGGUGGGUAUGGACGAAGGAGAUGAUUCCCGACGGACAUUGGUACAAAACUUUUUUUCCGUUGCCUAGUUUUACGUCCUGUUGACGCACCUUCCCAGGCCUGUUUUCAAAGUUUUGUCCUGUUGACGACCUGUUACCCCCUGUUUUCUCCUGUUGUUGGGUUGCCGCAAAUAUUGGACCCAUUUAUCUAACUCCACCAUGGGCGACCUGACCCUCCGCCAUGUAGCAGACAACCCCCCUCAGGUCUUGCGGAGUAUCCUUCCCAAGUUGCGUGGAUGUGAAGAGACACGACAUUUCUCCUGAUGUACCAUAGGCGACCUACUUGUGAUGUGGACCUGAAUCUCCGCCAUGUAGCUGACAACCCCACUCUGGUCUUGCGGAGUAUCCUUCCCAAGUGGUGUGGAUGUGAAGGGACACGACAUUUCUCCUGAUGUACCAUGGGCGACCUACUUGUGAUGUGGACCUGAACCUCCGCCAUGUAGCUGACAACCCUCCUCAGGUCUUGCGGAGUAUCCUUCCCAAGUUGCGUGGAUGUGAAGGGACACCACAGUUCCCCUGAUGUACCAUGGGUGACCUAACAAUUCCACUGCAUCUCAUAUUUAACAUUGUAUUUGCUAAUAAUUUAAAUAAAAACCACAGAAAACUUCUCAAUUUAAACA